Molecule: long non-coding RNA, 2243 nt
Organism: Sphaeramia orbicularis (orbiculate cardinalfish)
Lineage: Eukaryota; Metazoa; Chordata; Actinopteri; Kurtiformes; Apogonidae
Exons: 2
Source: RefSeq, a predicted model, not a curated record
GACCCUUUGGCGGACCGCAUUUGGCCCCCAGGUCGCAUGUUUGACACCCCUGGCCUAGAUUGUUAAAAUCUUCAGUGUAAUUUUUACAUUUCACAAAUUCAUCCCAUGAGCCAGAUUGGACUGGUUUUGGUUUUUACUGUUUUGACACCUGUACAUUAGAGUUUGACAGUUACAUUUUCUAAUUUAUUCAUUUUCCACAAGUGUCUUAAAAACAUUCUCCAUUUUAAUGACCUUAAAUGGUGUUUCUAUGUGGACAAGAGGCCCAAACAAAAAGGAAAAAACAUUUUCUUUUUGUAAAAUAUCCAUAAGAGUGUGGACAAGUGCUUGUACUGUGGAUGGUUUUAUAGAAACAUACACUGUGCGUUGAAGUGACUGUGACGUUUCCGUGGUAAAGCGUAUCCGAGGCCACAGAGCUGCUCUUCUGUACGUCGCCCUUCUGCUUCUUUAGCAUGGAUUGUGAAUCGUGAAGUGGCUAGACCUGAUUCCUUCCGACCUUAGCCUUCUCUGUUCGCAUUAUAACGCUCAAUUCUAUUUGACUCCGCUGUCAUCGGCUGCUGUUCACAUCACUUUUGCUUUUUUUUAAGUUACUGCUGAAUGGUCGCUCAUGCAUGUUGACGAACGUGGUUUGCGAAUGUUACUAGUAAAGUUGUGAGAGAACAAUUAUAUGGCCUGGAAAGUCACAUGAGAAGUUCUGUAUGUAUAUAUAUGAUUAUGCUGUGGCCUGAUAAAGUGACCUGUGUGGCAGGUUGUGAUAAAUAAUUACUUCCAGUUUCCCACAGUGUGGUUCUAUGAACUAUCUGGUCCUUUUGUCGUCAAAUGUUCAUCAUCGUAAAACAAAAAACAUAUCAUAUUCAGGCCCGUGGGGUCUGUCGCUGUCUAUUCACAACCAGCCUUCGUGUUUCCGGAUUUAAUUUUCGACCAUUCGAUGCUGUUACUCUGCCUUUUCUUCCAUGUUUACAGUACGAUAUGAUUUAGAUGAAGUGUUGCUUUUUUCUGCCUUUCAAUCAAGAAGCGAAGUGUCAAGAGUGGAGCAAUAACAGGACACCGGCUGCGCUUCUAUUGGUCGCAAUUCCCGACGUGUGACUCAUUACUGCUAGCGUUCCCCUGUAGGUGUGAAUACUUGUAGCCAUAUAUCUUCGGCGUCACCACAGACCCCUCCCCCUUUCUCAACCCGUUGCCAACUCAGAGCCCCGCGUCGCCGUGACCUCGACUCAUCAUAUCCCGAAGUGAACUUGUACGUUACUGUCCGUCUGUGCUUCAGUAACAGCCUGUCAAUAUGACGUUUGACUUUCGGUGUUUACACUUUGGCGUCGAACCCUUUCGCCUUUUGACGAUCUCUCGCACCUUCAUCGUCAGUUUUCUGUCCGUGAAAAGCGCUGUUGAUGUUUUUUAAAAUUUUUUUGAUUUUAAGUUUUUUCUCAAAUACAGAAGCAAUAACCUCUGUCCUCGACGUGAAGCCCACUUCUAUCACGGAUCGACUUGAAACACAACAAUUACCGAUUUUUACCAAGAAGUGGGCUUGACUCGGUUCCUGGAAACAGCUUCACGGUUGCAUUUGUGCAAUAUCCUAAACAAUGAAGUCAUGCUGUAGUUUUCAGACUGUCAGAUAUUCAAUGUUUAACUUAUUUCAGUGCUGUAAAUCCAAUGAAAAUGUAUUUAUGUACUUGUGUGACUAGUGUAGAUGUAGCUCAGUGGACAUACUCUUAAGUAUGCACGACCCGACCCCAAAAGUUUGCUUCAAAACUACACACUUCACUGCUGUUUCUACCAACAAUAGGAUGGAUUUUGAAGUAGCGCCGGUCUCAAAAUGUAAUAAACGCAUUCAAAUGCCUUAGCUGUGCAUUAGCCUUAUCCAUCUGAGCAUCAAUGCACUUUUCCAAAUGCUUGUUAAAUAACUAAUUGUGUUCUUCUGCACGGCGCAGAUAGGAUUUAUAUUCCUGUUUCAUUCAGGGAACUCGGUCUCGCGCCCACUGGUAUCAAUGUCAUUUUAAUCUGCAGGUAGAAAGGCAGGUCUGAUUCGCGCCCCCACAUAUGAAUUCUAACUCAGCGGAAAUAUGAUUUGGGAUUGAUACAUUAAAUUAUUGCCAGAUUGGAAGAAGGAACAGAGUGGCUAGGCUUCGCUUCAUUGUAGCGAAUCAUAUUGAGCUCCAACUUCAUUAUGUGAUCUACUUUGCAUACUUUAUUGUGACGGGUAUGUGCUCUCUGACACUUUCCAAUAAAAUGUGUGAUUUCCUUUUUCCAGU